Molecule: ribosomal RNA, 774 nt
Filed under: uncultured Neocallimastigales
Lineage: Eukaryota; Fungi; Neocallimastigomycota; Neocallimastigomycetes; Neocallimastigales
Description: partial large subunit ribosomal RNA
Rfam family: Eukaryotic large subunit ribosomal RNA
Source: RNAcentral
UACUAGAGUAGCACUCGCAUAUCAAUAAGCGGAGGAAAAGAAACUAACAAGGAUUCCCCUAGUAACGGCGAGUGAAGCGGGAAGAGCUCAAAUUUGAAAUCUUAAAGGGUUUCCCUUUACGAAUUGUAGUUUAAAGAAGUGUUUUCUGUUGAGGUUUUGGUAAAAGUUCUUUGGAAUAGGACGUCAUAGAGGGUGAGAAUCCCGUAUUUGACCUUUACUUUCAACUUUGUGAUACACUUUCAAAGAGUCGGAUUGUUUGGGAAUGCAGUCCAAAAUGGGUGGUAAAUUUCAUCUAAAGCUAAAUAUUGGCGAGAGACCGAUAGCGAACAAGUACCGUGAGGGAAAGAUGAAAAGAACUUUGAAAAGAGAGUUAAACAGUACGUGAAAUUGUCAAAAGGGAAGCGUUUGACACCAGUGUUGUUUUUCUGAAAAUCAAUUAAAGAACUGUUUAUGCUAAGCUGUUUAGACUUUAUCAGCUAUCUGUUUAGUUUUGAGCUUUUCUUUAAUGCACUUUUCAGUUAACAAGUCAACAUCAAUUUCUUUUGCUGUAAAAAAGCUUGAGGAAGGUGGCUUGAGAUUCGUCUUAAGUGUUUAUAGCCUCUUGCCUAUGCAGUCGGAGAGAUUGAGGUCUGCAGCGUAGAUCCUUCGGGGCUAAAUGCAUUUGUGCUAAGUUAUAGCAUUUUAUAGACAACUUGUUGACUAUGAUUUGUCUUGUAGCUUACUCGCUUAUGUUAUUUUACCUACGCUUAGGAUGUUGAGCGCAUGUCUCUCUCU